CAUGCUGGGAGCCUCUUCACAACAAGUGGGCUGUGUUCCUGAAGUCUUUCGGGGAGCUUGGGAAACUGUUGACCUCCUAGAUCACUAGGACCUGGGUCGAGCACGGGCCGUCACAGAAAAAUAUGGAACUUGUUCCCGAUAUUUCAUCAUGACCUUGUGCUAGAAAGCUUUGAAGUUAGCCUAAACCUCAGCUAGCCUGGCAAAUCUUCCGACUCGACCACUGGACUCGUUUUGCAACGGACUCCACCACAUUCGGUUGCCCCAGGCUCCACGGGCAGCAGCGGAGCGUCACUGACAAAUUUCCAUUCCACGCAGGCGCUGGUUAAUCCGGCUCGGGCGGAAGAACUCCGACUGUCUCCUCACCUCCCUCUCCCCCGCCCCCGCGGUUAAUCAAAGGCCUCUGUCCGUUCUGCGCAGGCGCCACUGGGGUCUCAGAGGAGCCGGGAGUAGGGGCCACGCCUCUUCACAGUUUCGGUCCAGAGUUCAUAGACUGUUGAAGACAAAGAAAAAGUAAGACUUCUCCAUUUAUCCAUUAUUUCAACAAUUGUUGGGAAAAGAGAAAAAGAUUAAUCGACAGUGCCAUUACACUCAAAAAUUCUUUUACUCCUACAACAGGCAGAUAGUUUUCUGUAGUGAAACUAGUCUGACACAGACAUCACC
RNAcentral lists this long non-coding RNA (660 nucleotides) under Fukomys damarensis (Damara mole-rat). Its description in RNAcentral is "lncRNA (ENSFDAG00000028874.1)". Lineage: Eukaryota; Metazoa; Chordata; Mammalia; Rodentia; Bathyergidae. The record is from RNAcentral.